RNAcentral lists this unclassified non-coding RNA (614 nucleotides) under Hevea brasiliensis (rubber tree). The record is from RNAcentral. Lineage: Eukaryota; Viridiplantae; Streptophyta; Magnoliopsida; Malpighiales; Euphorbiaceae.
AUUUGUAUCUCCUUUUAUAAAUUCUAUUUCAAAAUCAAAAAUACUUAAAAUUGCUUGCCAUCGUGCAAAAAUUUGUUUUGAUGCAAGAUUUUGAACAUCUUUUUGCAAAACUUCUUUGGCUGAUUUGCAAUCAAUUCUAAGUAAAAAUUUUUGAUUUAAUAAAUCACUUUGAAAUUUUUGUAUGCACAUGACAAUUGCAAGAAUCUCUUUUUUGAUGGUAGAGUAUUUCUUUUGACAAUCAUUCCAAUGUGCAGAAUGGAAUUGAAUUAUUUGUUCUUUUCCAUUUUGAAUUUGUUUUAAAAUUCCUUCAUAACCGAACUCUGAGGCAUCUGUUUUGACUACUUUAGGGGCUAAUAGGUCUGCUAAAUGCAGAUUAGGAAUGGUCUGAACCUAUUGUUUGAUAUGACGAACCACUUCAGUAUGAUGCUCUGUCCAUUGAACAGAGUUUUUCUUUAACCUAUCAUGCAAAGGUUUUGCUAGACGGUUAAUACUUGGACAAAAAUCUAAGACGUAAUCCAGACUGCCUAAGAAUCUUUGGAGCUGAUUUAUCCAAGAUUUUGUCAGGGAAUUUAUUUGCAAAUUCUAGACUCCUCUCUAUUGGAGUAAUGGUUCCU